UACGAAGGGGGCAAGCGGUGUUCGGAGUUACUGGGCGUAAAGGGCGCGUAGGCGGAUUCGUAAGUCAGAGGUGAAAGCCCUGGGUUCAACCCGGGAAAUGCCUUUGGAACUGCGAGUCUUGAGUGCGGGAGAGGAUGGCGGAAUACCCAGUGUAGAGGUGAAAUUCGUAGAUAUUGGGUGGAACACCGGUGGCGAAGGCGGCCAUCUGGCCCGUAACUGACGCUGAGGCGCGAAAGCGUGGGGAGCAUACAGG
RNAcentral lists this ribosomal RNA (253 nucleotides) under uncultured bacterium. RNAcentral describes it as "partial 16S ribosomal RNA". It matches the Rfam family "Bacterial small subunit ribosomal RNA", at positions 524 to 776 of the family's 1533-position model. The record is from RNAcentral.